UAGCGGCGGACGGGUGAGUAACACGUGGGUAACCUGCCUGUAAGACUGGGAUAACUCCGGGAAACCGGGGCUAAUACCGGAUAACUUCUUCCUCCGCAUGGAGGAAUAUUGAAAGAUGGCUUCGGCUAUCACUUACAGAUGGACCCGCGGCGCAUUAGCUAGCUCGCGAGAUAACGGCUCACCAAGGUAACGAUGCGUAGCCGACCUGAGAGGGUGAUCGGCCACACUGGGACUGAGACACGGCCCAGACUCCUACGGGAGGCAGCAGUAGGGAAUCUUCCGCAAUGGACGAAAGUCUGACGGAGCAACGCCGCGUGAGUGAUGAAGGUUUUCGGAUCGUAAAACUCUGUUGUUAGGGAAGAACAAGUACCGUUCGAAUAGGGCGGUACCUUGACGGUACCUAACCAGAAAGCCACGGCUAACUACGUGCCAGCAGCCGCGGUAAUACGUAGGUGGCAAGCGUUGUCCGGAAUUAUUGGGCGUAAAGCGCGCGCAGGCGGUUUCUUAAGUCUGAUGUGAAAGCCCACGGCUCAACCGUGGAGGGUCAUUGGAAACUGGGAGACUUGAGUGCAGAAGAGGAGAGUGGAAUUCCACGUGUAGCGGUGAAAUGCGUAGAGAUGUGGAGGAACACCAGUGGCGAAGGCGACUCUCUGGUCUGUAACUGACGCUGAGGCGCGAAAGCGUGGGGAGCGAACAGGAUUAGAUACCCUGGUAGUCCACGCCGUAAACGAUGAGUGCUAAGUGUUAGAGGGUUUCCGCCCUUUUAGUGCUGCAGCUAACGCAUUAAGCACUCCGCCUGGGGAGUACGGCCGCAAGGCUGAAACUCAAAGGAAUUGACGGGGGCCCGCACAGCGUUGGAGCAUGUGGUUUAUUCGAAGCAACGCGUAGAACCUUACAGUUCUUGACAUCUCUGRCACCUAGAGAUAGGGACUUU
This 934-nucleotide ribosomal RNA is filed under the name Bacillus sp. (in: firmicutes). RNAcentral's name for it is "bacterial SSU rRNA". The record is from RNAcentral. Lineage: Bacteria; Bacillati; Bacillota; Bacilli; Caryophanales; Bacillaceae.